Molecule: ribosomal RNA, 23 nt
Filed under: Dwayaangam colodena
Lineage: Eukaryota; Fungi; Ascomycota
Description: partial 28S ribosomal RNA
Source: RNAcentral
AACCCCCAAUUUUUUAAGGGUGA